This 5159-nucleotide unclassified non-coding RNA is filed under the name Hevea brasiliensis (rubber tree). Lineage: Eukaryota; Viridiplantae; Streptophyta; Magnoliopsida; Malpighiales; Euphorbiaceae. The record is from RNAcentral.
CAGGGUUUUAGCAGCAAUGGCCAAUCUCUUCAAAAUCCAUAAACCUCUCUUCUCAGAGUGACGAAGUCUGGUUUUUUCCCGUUUCUUUAACCUUUCAUCCUGAGUUAUGGAGCUUCCCAGUCCUUCAGUUUCAAACAGAAAUCUGUUUGUUCCACGCUUUUCCUUCUUCACUCGCAAAUUUUCCUUUAAAACUUGCAACACCAAAACCCCCUCCAAAUUCCACAAAAACCUUUCUACUCCAUUCCAUUUAUCAUUCUCAACCACCAGAAUUGUGCAUGUUUCGGCCCGUUUUGGACGACCUACAAAUCGCAGGAAUUCCCUAAGGAAAAAGCUCGUUGAUUAUCAACAGGUGCGUCAAAAGAAUCCUAUUUCUCUAAAUCCAAGUUCUGAUUUUCAAAACCCGAAUCUCCAUUUUGAUAAUAUUGGUAAUACUCAAGAGAAUUUGGAUCAGGAUAGUCUGAAGGAGAUUGAUUCUAGGGAUGGUGUUGGUUUAGUUGAAUCCGAAUGUGAAAAAACAUGGGAAACACAAUCGAAAGAACUGGGUGAAUCAGUUUUCUCGACUAAGCUCGAUAAGUGGGUGCUUCAGUACAAUAAAGAUACUGCAUAUUGGGGUAUUGGGUCUGGUCCCAUUUUUACUGUUUUUCAUGAUUUAAAAGGAAAUAUCAAGCGGGUUUUAGUUCAUGAAGAUGAGAUCUUAAAGAGAAGCCAAGUUGAGAAGCGAGAAUUGGGGGAUUUAACAAAAUUAAAUUCUAAAAUUUCGUAUGCAAAGGAUUUGGCCAGACAGAUGGAGGAAGGGGGAAAUGUUAUUCCUAGAAAUAGUUCAGUUGCAAAAUUUGUUGUUUCCAGGGAAGAGUCUGGUUUUGUAAACGCAAUUCGUGAUGUUAUUCCGCAGCCCGAGUUUGUCCCAGUCCUUUCGGGGCUUGCGAAAUUGACAUUUUGUUUUUUUGUUGCAAUUGGGGCACUGAAGAAGUUGUUCACUUCGGGAAAUAAGGAGGAGCAGUUAACAGAAUUGGAGAAGGAAAUGAUGAGGAGAAAGAUAAAAUCUAGACAGGAAAAAGAAAUUCGCAACAAAGGUAGAGUUGAAGUUGUCCAAGAACCUUCUGAGCUACCAAUGUUGUCAACUGAAAAACCUAAGCUGGACAAGCAAGAACUAAUUAGAAAUAUACUUGAUGCAAAGGCAUCAAAGGAUAAAUUGGUGUUGGUAGAUUCUUCUGGUUCCCAAACUACCAGUGGCAUGGAUUUUGAUGAAAAAAUUCAAGAAAUUAGAGCAAUGGCUUGGAAGGCUCGGGAGAUUCAGAGCGGAGGAAAGCCAUUGGUUAAUGAGGAUAGAGAAGAAAAACAGUGUGUGGAUGAUGAAUCAUCUGGUAGGAUGGAGAUGUUUGAAGAGUACACAGAAGGCGUGAGUUUUCUAACUGACAUUCAAAAUGGAGAUUCUGAUCAAAGGAGGGAUAUGGAUGAUAUCAGAGUGGAGUUAUCUUUAGAAGGGUCAGAGGAUGAUGAUACCAGGCAUCUAAAUAAGGUGUCCUCUGAAAAGAAUAGGGUCAUGCAUUCUUCUAGCACUUCAGGUGUAGAAGUUUUAAAAGACAGGCAAACAAUGGCAAGUGGAGAAGUUACACAUUCCUCUGAUACUAUUGAUGAUGAAUGGUGCUUGCCAAAGGCAAAACCAAGGAUUAUACUUUCAGUCAAAGAAGCAAGGGAAUUCCUUGCUAAGAAAGAUAACAAAUGUGCCCAGGAACCCAAAGUUAACACAGUGCAAGAAGAAACAUCUAUGUUAAGUCCAUCUAGUGAUAAAAUAUCUGGUGGUAAAACAAGCCAAAGAGUGGAAACAGGUAGACUGCUGUUUGAACCUGUCAAUUCGGGCAAAAUGUCAGGUCCUUUGACUGCUGUGAAUUUUCUCAAAGAUUCAAUUCCAGAGGGGAAGGAACUUGUUUCAAACCAGAAAGAUGAUUCCAAUGAUUCUGAGGAAGAACAUGGGUUGCAUAAUCUUCAAAAUUCCCAAACACUCUUAAAUAAAGACAUUAAUGACAGCAUGGAGAGAAGACAGCCUGUACAGACACAAAACUGGAUGGAGAAAAAUUUUGUUGAAGUUGAACCCAUAAUUAAGAAGAUUGGUGAUGGAUUUAGGGAUAAUUACAAAAUUGCAAGAGAAAAUGUAAAUCAACAUGCAGGUAGUGAUGUAACACAUCUUAACUAUAGUGAAGAUGAUAGUGAACUUGAGUGGAUGAAAGAUGAUGAUCUUAGGGAAAUAGUUUUUCGAGUCCGAGAAAAUGAGUUGGCAGGGAGGGAUCCAUUUCAUUUGAUGGAUGCUGAAGAUAAACUUAAAUUCUUCAAAGGUCUUGAGAAGAAAGUUGAGAAAGAGAAUGAAAAAUUGUUUCAAGUUCAUGAAUAUCUCCAUUCAAAUAUUGAAAAUCUUGAUUAUGGAGCAGGUAAUUGAUUGCUUGUAAACCAUAUCAUUAACUAUUUUCCUUGUCCUUCAGUCUAAAAAAAUUAGUUGGAUAAUGGCGUGGCUAUUGUAUGUUAUUGACUUGGAUGCCCUUUCUUUCUUGUUUUAUUCUGAGGACUAAAGAUUUUCCUGUUGUAGUGGUUCCAAAUGGCUGAAAAUUCACAUCACUAAACCAAUUGGUUGAGUGUAAAUUUACAUGUCACUGAAAGCAUUUUUGAUCUUUUUGUUUUAAUCAAAUUAAUGCUAUUAUUUUCUUCUGCUCAUCCUGUAGAUGGUAUCAGCUUGUAUGAUACUCCAGAAAAGUUUAUACCUCGCUGGAAGGGGGCUCCAUUAGAAAAGAAUCCUGAGUUCCUCAACAACUUCCUAGAGCAACGUAAUGCAAGUUUUGCUCGAAAUGCUGGCACUUUGUACCUUGUGAAGGAGGAUGAACGAAACUUGAUUCAGAAAUCAACUGAAUCUCUAGCAGAUGAGAAUACUGCAACUUCCUUGUCAGAAAACGCUUUAGAGAAGAAUUUACGCAGUAAGAAUUCUAAAGAUUCUAAGACAGUAAUAGAAGGUAGUGAUGGUUCUGUUAGACCUGGAAAAAAAUCAGGCAAGGAAUAUUGGCAACACACAAAGAAAUGGUCCCGUGGGUUUUUGGAAUCUUACAAUUCAGAGACAGACCCAGAAAUGAAAUCUGUCAUGAAGGAUAUAGGAAAAGAUUUGGAUAGAUGGAUCACUGAAGAAGAAAUACAGGAGGCAGCUGAUCUGAUGAAGAAACUUCCUGAGAGAAAUAAGAAGUUCAUGGAAAAGAAAAUCAAUAAGUUAAAAAGAGAAAUGGAAUUGUUCGGACCACAAGCUGUAGUGAGCAAAUACAGUGAGUAUGCAGAAGAGAAGGAAGAAGAUUACUUGUGGUGGUUGGAUCUUCCACAUGUACUGUGCAUUGAAUUGUACACAACUCAGAAUGGGAAACAAGAGAUAGGAUUCUAUUCGUUGGAGAUGGCUGCAGAUCUUGAAUUGGAACCAAAACCAUAUCAUGUGAUUGCUUUUGAAGAUGCUGGUGAUUGCAAAAACCUAUGUUGUAUUAUUCAAACUCACAUGGAUAUGCUUGGAAAUGGCCAUGCCUUUGUUGUUCCAAGGCCUCCUAAGGUAGAGAUUUUUAUUUUUGCUAAUUAUAACUUUGACAUUUUCAGAAGAGUUCAAGAGAAUCUUCUGUCAUGCUAACAUGAACAUCAUUCUUUUGAUUUGUAAGAGAGAGCCUUAUUGUUAGCUGUAUUUAGAAACUAAUUUACCAAACUGAAUUAGUCAUUGCAGCACUUAGUAGAUUCUCAAGAAUAUGUGCUUGUGUCGGUGUGUGCUUGUGUACUUUGAGAAUUAUUUUUCUGAGUUGUGCGCAUUUGGGAGACUGGAAUAAUAUCAUGCUUUCAGAUUUGAUAAAUGAAAAAUAUGAGCGGAGAACUCUAUAGUGGAACCAACAUUUUAUGAGUCAUUAGUAUUUCUUUUCUCAUCACUUUCCAGCGGAAUAUAAGCAACCCUCUUGAUCAACAUCUUAUGCUCUUUUAGCAAUUGUAUCCUGUUAGUUGAAACAAUCUCAUGCUGAAUGCUAGGUGUGUUACUGUUUUGAUUGAGGAGAUGAGCAUUACAUUUCUACUUUCAUUUUUUUUUUCUUUUUUACUCCUUUUAUGUGGCUCUAACUGUUGAUUUUAGGAUGCCUUUCGGGAAGCCAAAGCAAGUGGUUUUGGUGUUACUAUUAUCAGGAAAAGAGAGCUAAAGCUGAAUGUAGAUCAAACCCUGGAAGACGUGGAGGAACAAAUCACUGAGAUUGGAAGCAAGAUGUAUCAUGAUAAGCUCAUGCGGGAGCGUUCUGUUGAUAUAAGUGCACUGAUGAAGGGUAUUUUUGGUGUCGAUGGCCAAAGUGCUAAUGCUAAAAGAAAAAAGCCAAAGCGGAAGCUGAAGAAGCCUAGCAAGAAAUGAAGAUGAUUUGUGCCUAACCAAGCAUGGGUGAGUGGUGAUGACAGUUGACCAUGACACCAUGUAAAAGGUUGUUGGCUGUGUAAGCUGCUUUACAAGGUCUGGGUUUUUUGUCUUGCUUCCAGUCAAGCAGAUCAGGAGCACAUGGAAGACCUUUUGUCCAAUGCUGAAUGCUUUAUCUAUCACAUAUGUUAUGUCAAAUUCAAUCUGCUGCUAGCUCUAUUUGAAGGUCCUUGCGUCAUGCAGUGAUGGCAGGUUGGCAACUUUGACAUUCAACUUUGCUGCCUACAGAAGGAUAAGCUGGAUAAUGGCUGGAGCUAAUGCACUAAUACAUACUAGCAAUUCUAUGUACAGCUGGGGGUGCUGCUCUGCGUCCAUCAGCAGUUUCCAUGACAUUGAUCUUCCCAGGUCUAAAGCGGGCAGAAUUCUUUGAGUUCAACAGAAAAGGUUCUGACCUGGUAAAAUUCAAAGCUGCUAGUGAAAAAUGACCUCUUUAUUUGUGAAUCGCUUGCUAUUCCUCAGUUUUGUAGGGGCAAUAACCAAUGGUUUGCAUGGUAACAAAUGGUUUACAUUUUCUAUGUUCAGCAUCAAUUUUCUAUUCUUAAGAAAGUGGGAAAGCGUGCAUGUAAUUGGUAUUGACGUCGAGAAGAAAACCCUUGGCUUUCCCUGCUUUUAUUUACCCCAGCGUGUCACGCAGUAUAAGUAGUAAUGUAAAUUUUAUGUAGAAAUCUAGUAUAUCUUACCAGACUGAUAUGGCUGAUCUAUA